AUGCUGCGAAGUUCUGGUUUGGAGAUCAACCCCGACAAGUACAUCGACAUCCAGCGCAAAUGGAGAGUUCCUUUCAUGGGAAGAAAGAGGUACCACUCUUUGGCUGAUGUUGCAGGGAGCGUGAUCCACCCAUUCUACAAACAGAUGAAGGAUAAGAUUGAUAGGGUUGAAGACCAUAAACUGUGGGGGAUCAGUCCACUGCCAAAUUACCUCAUUGAGUAUGCAACGAUAGAUGCGUACGCCACCUACUAG
This 252-nucleotide ribosomal RNA is filed under the name Triticum aestivum (bread wheat). RNAcentral describes it as "partial small subunit ribosomal RNA". The record is from RNAcentral. Lineage: Eukaryota; Viridiplantae; Streptophyta; Magnoliopsida; Poales; Poaceae.